RNAcentral lists this ribosomal RNA (253 nucleotides) under uncultured bacterium. Its description in RNAcentral is "partial 16S ribosomal RNA". It matches the Rfam family "Bacterial small subunit ribosomal RNA", at positions 524 to 776 of the family's 1533-position model. The record is from RNAcentral.
UACGUAGGGUGCGAGCGUUGUCCGGAAUUAUUGGGCGUAAAGGGCUCGUAGGCGGUUUGUCGCGUCGGGAGUGAAAUCCACUGGCUUAACUGGUGGCUUGCUUUCGAUACGGGCAGACUGGAGGUAUGCAGGGGAGAACGGAAUUCCAGGUGUAGCGGUGAAAUGCGUAGAUAUCUGGAGGAACACCGGUGGCGAAGGCGGCAUCCUGGACCAACACUGACGCUGAGGAGCGAAAGCCAGGGGAGCAAACGGG